CGAGAGGAACACCAAUGGCGAAGGCAGCUUCUUGGCCCAUAUCUGACGCUCAUACACGAAAGCGUGGGUAGCAAACAGGAUUAGAUACCCUGGUAGUCCACGCCGUAAACGAUGAUCACUAGAUGUUAGUCCCGCUUGCGGGAUUAGUAUCGUAGCUAACGCGUUAAGUGAUCCGCCUGGGGAGUACGGUCGCAAGAUUAAAACUCAAAGAAAUUGACGGGGGUCCGCACAAGCGGUGGAACAUGUGGUUUAAUUCGAUACUACGCGAGGAACCUUACCUGGGUUUGACAUGCUUUUGACAGCUAUAGAGAUAUAGUCUUCCAAGUUUACUUGGACAAUUGCACAGGUGCUGCAUGGUUGUCGUCAGCUCGUGUCGUGAGAUGUCUGGUUAAGUCCUUUAACGAGCGCAACUCUCGUCGUCAGUUGCUAUCCUUCGGGAGCACUCUGGCGAGACUGCCUGGGUAACCAGGAGGAAGGUGGGAAUGACGUCAAAUCAUCAUGGCCCUUAUGCCCAGGGCUACACACGUGUUACAAUGGCCAGUACAAAGGGCUGCCAACUCGUAAGAGUGAGCUAAUCCCAGAAAACUGGUCCAAGUUCGGAUUGAGGUCUGCAAUUCGACCUCAUGAAGUUGAAAUCGCUAGUAAUCGCGUAUCAGAACGACGCGGUGAAUACGUUCUCGGACCUUGUACACACCGCCCGUCACACCACGAGAGCUGUCUGUACCCGAAGUUAUCUUAGCUAACCUUUAUUGGAGGCGGAUACCUAAGGUAUGGGGGGUGAUUGGGGUGAAGUCGUAACAAGGUAGCUGUAGGAGAACCUGCGGCUGGAUCACCUCCUUUCGAGGGA
RNAcentral lists this ribosomal RNA (847 nucleotides) under bacterium. RNAcentral's name for it is "bacterial SSU rRNA". It matches the Rfam family "Bacterial small subunit ribosomal RNA", at positions 698 to 1533 of the family's 1533-position model. The record is from RNAcentral.